GACGAACGCUGGCGGCGUGCCUAAUACAUGCAAGUCGAGCGGACCGGAUUGGGGCUUGCCUUGAUUCGGUCAGCGGCGGACGGGUGAGUAACACGUGGGCAACCUGCCCGCAAGACCGGGAUAACUCCGGGAAACCGGAGCUAAUACCGGAUAACACCGAAGACCGCAUGGUCUUCGGUUGAAAGGCGGCCUUUGGGCUGUCACUUGCGGAUGGGCCCGCGGCGCAUUAGCUAGUUGGUGAGGUAACGGCUCACCAAGGCGACGAUGCGUAGCCGGCCUGGGAGGGUGACCGGCCACACUGGGACUGAGACACGGCCCAGACUCCUACGGGAGGCAGCAGUAGGGAAUCUUCCGCAAGGGGCGAAAGCCUGACGGAGCGACGCCGCGUGAGCGAAGAAGGCCUUCGGGUCGUAAAGCUCUGUUGUGAGGGACGAAGGAGCGUCGUUCGAAGAGGGCGGCGCGGUGACGGUACCUCACGAGAAAGCCCCGGCUAACUACGUG
Molecule: ribosomal RNA, 501 nt
Filed under: uncultured bacterium
Lineage: Bacteria
Description: partial 16S ribosomal RNA
Rfam family: Bacterial small subunit ribosomal RNA
Source: RNAcentral